Molecule: transfer RNA, 66 nt
Filed under: Scutogyrus longicornis
Lineage: Eukaryota; Metazoa; Platyhelminthes; Monogenea; Dactylogyridea; Ancyrocephalidae
Description: tRNA-Glu
Source: RNAcentral
GCUGAGUUAGUUUAUGUUAGAAUGGUACCUUUUCGUGGUAUAGGUGAGUUUAAUAUUCAUUCAGUU